AGAUUGAACGCUGGCGGCAUGCCUAACACAUGCAAGUCGAACGGGAGUAGCAAUACUCUAGUGGCGGACGGGUGAGGAAUACGUAGGAAUUUGCCCUUAAGUGGGGGAUAACCCGGGGAAACCCGGAUUAAUACCGCAGGACCUCGAAAGAGCAAAGUGGGGGAUCGCAAGACCUCACGCUUUUGGAGAAGCCUACGUCGGAUUAGCUAGUUGGUGAGGUAAUGGCUCACCAAGGCGACGAUCCGUAACUGGUCUGAGAGGAUGAUCAGUCACACCGGAACUGAGACACGGUCCGGACUCCUACGGGAGGCAGCAGUGGGGAAUAGUUGGACAAGUGGGCGCAAGCCUGGAUCCAGCAAUGCCGCGUGUGUGAAGAGGCCGUUAGGUGUAAAGCUACGUUUAAGGUUAGGAAGAAAAACGUACGACUACGUAACAAC
Molecule: ribosomal RNA, 437 nt
Filed under: uncultured soil bacterium
Lineage: Bacteria
Description: bacterial SSU rRNA
Rfam family: Bacterial small subunit ribosomal RNA
Source: RNAcentral